RNAcentral lists this long non-coding RNA (249 nucleotides) under Olea europaea (common olive). RNAcentral describes it as "long non-coding RNA (OEUR_LNC010096)". The record is from RNAcentral. Lineage: Eukaryota; Viridiplantae; Streptophyta; Magnoliopsida; Lamiales; Oleaceae.
AUUAGAAUUUAUUGAAUGACAAAACAAUGUAUUAAAUUUCAUGAAGGAGAAGAUGAAUUACACUCCAUGAAAGGAGGAAAUGAACAACUCCAUAAAAGGAGGAAGACAUUCCAUAAUAGGAGGAAAUGAAACCUCCAUGGAAGGAGGGAUUGGAGGACAAUCCAAUAGACUAAAAGCGCAUACAUAGUGUUGUAUUUAUAGAACAAAAUGGCUAAACUAAUUAGCUAAUUAACAAACUAAUCACUAACU